AGUGAACGCUGGCGGUAGGCCUAACACAUGCAAGUCGAACGGCAGCACAGUAAGAGCUUGCUCUUACGGGUGGCGAGUGGCGGACGGGUGAGGAAUACAUCGGAAUCUACUUUUUCGUGGGGGAUAACGUAGGGAAACUUACGCUAAUACCGCAUACGACCUACGGGUGAAAGCAGGGGAUCUUCGGACCUUGCGCGAUUGAAUGAGCCGAUGUCGGAUUAGCUAGUUGGCGGGGUAAAGGCCCACCAAGGCGACGAUCCGUAGCUGGUCUGAGAGGAUGAUCAGCGACGCCGGAACAGAGACACGGUCCAGACUCGUACGGGGGGCAGGAGUGGAGAAUAUUGGACAAUGGGAGCAAGCCUGAUCCAGCCAUACCGCGUGGGUGGAGAAGGCCUUCGGGUUGGAAAGCCCUUUUGUUGGGAAAGAAAAGCAGCAGGUUAAUACCCCGCUGUUCUGACGGUACCCAAAGAAUAAGCACCGGCUAACUUCG
This 490-nucleotide ribosomal RNA is filed under the name uncultured bacterium. RNAcentral describes it as "partial 16S ribosomal RNA". It matches the Rfam family "Bacterial small subunit ribosomal RNA", at positions 29 to 505 of the family's 1533-position model. The record is from RNAcentral.